Long non-coding RNA from Cyprinus carpio (common carp), 1540 nucleotides. RefSeq lists it as uncharacterized. The transcript is spliced from 7 exons. NCBI's taxonomy places the organism in Eukaryota, Metazoa, Chordata, Actinopteri, Cypriniformes, Cyprinidae. The record is from RefSeq and is a predicted model, not a curated record.
GCGGGAGAUAUAAGAGCUAUAUAAGAUGCUACUUUUAGAGAUUUCUAGAGAGAGAACGAAAACUCUUUUUGGUCCACACCGUUAGUAAAUUGUUUAAUCUUGUGCUGUGAGGAUGAGUGUCCCGCUGUCUGUUGCUGUGACUCUAGGGCUGCUGUUCUAACUGUCUGUGGGACUGAACGAGCAGGUGGCCGAGGGCUGUACUUGUCUUCAAAGACACCCUCAACGGGUGUUCUGUGAGUCUGAUAUUGCGCCGAUUGGCCAAUAUAACACAAGGCGGGAAUUUUUUGUCGAAUUUGCUGAAGACGCAGCACUGACUGCAGGCCAGAACGGAGUCAUUUGCAGAGCCACCUGAAAGAAGAACUAAAUAAUAAAGUUAAAUAGCGGGCCAGCGGCACAAGCAGCCACACAGGCGGCGAAGCAGGCGGGAAGAGAGUCGUCGUGAAAGACUCAGAGUACGGUGGGACAGUAGCAGGCAGGCGGUUAUGAAGCAGACGAGGAGUCGUGAGGCCACAGGAGUGACGUUCCGCUGAUCUACAUGGAGUUUAAUAGGAUUGCUGGUAAGAACUUGAAAAGGGAAUUUUACGAGACCCUUGACCAACAUAGUACAUGCCUCUUGGACAUUUUCAGAGCCAAAAAGGGAGUUGCUGGUCAGCUCUUGAUGAACCUUCUGAAGCAAACAAAGCUAUCAGAGCCAACAGAAGUCCGAACUCUGGUGCUUCAAGGACUACCCCUUUGGUUUGGAGAUGACUCUACUGCUUUCUUUAAGAUAUGUUUGAUGUCUGAUGAUCACAGCUCAAUUCUUGAUGUGCCAGUGGGGAUUGUGAUAGUUGAAGAUGGGACGACUCUUAAGCCCCUCAACUCUCUGCAUUCGUCUCCCUCUUCGAUUGGAAUAGUAAUCGAGGGAAAAUUAGUGAUGGACAAUCUACAUGACCUUCCUGAAGCAAUGUGCCUUCUGUUCGGGACUAAUUUAUGCAUUGCACCUGAGUUACCCAAAGUCGCUGAGAUACACGUUUGACUUCAUUCAGCGCAUUCUACUUUCCUUGGGGCAGAAAGACCUGCAGCCUAAAACACAGUUGUUGGCAAACCAGCUGUUUGGUUAAAAUGGAGAAAUUGCAUGGCGCACUUUUAAUAGCAACACAUUUACAUUACACAUGGUCUUUUGAAAAUGAGACUGUUAAAAAUGAGUUUACUAUUAAGAUUUAUUAAGUUUUACUCAUGUGUCUUUUAAAAAUUAGCUUACUGUUUUGCUUGUUUUGUAAAUUGUGAGCUUACUGUUAUGAAUAUGAGCUUACUGUUUUUUUUUAAUGUGAGCUCAAUGUUUUGUAAAAAUGUUAGCUUACUGUUAAACAUGAGCUUAUUUUUUUUUUAUGUGACUUAAAAAUGCAGCUUACAGUUAAAAAUGAGCUUACUGUUAAAAAUAUGAGCUUAAAGUGCCGUUCAAGUGUCUUAAUGUGGCUUAAAAAUAUAAGCUUGAUGUGAGCAAUGUUUCCUAAAUUAAUGUAAAUGUAUAAACCAAAUAAAGCAGUUUAUGGAAAUACAA